This is a long non-coding RNA of Cercocebus atys (sooty mangabey), 1588 nucleotides long. RefSeq lists it as uncharacterized. The transcript is spliced from 3 exons. NCBI's taxonomy places the organism in Eukaryota, Metazoa, Chordata, Mammalia, Primates, Cercopithecidae. The record is from RefSeq and is a predicted model, not a curated record.
UCCCAGGGACAAGGAAAGCCACCCUCCACCAACAGAAAUGCUUCCGGCAAUUGCAUGACACUGAAGCUGCCAAGCAUUGGCCAGAUCUAGAGCAAAGAAAAUAUUCCUCCUACCACUACCAGAUGGUGUCAGAAGUGGGAUCCAAAGUAGAGUUUCUAACAUCCCCUAGGAGCACUGAGUGACCAAGUGAGGAACUCUCUGGACCCAUUGUGUCCAAUGAUCUCUUGGAGCAGCUGGGGAUUGUGGUAAAGACAACUUUUUAUGGUUUACUGACUGAGGACAAUCAACCCCUUCACAAUCUAGAACCUGAAGAUUGGAUCUUCUGGGAACAUCAGAGAAAGCCUGCCCUUGCCAUCUGCACUGCAGCAAAACUUCAGGACCUUGAACCUCAUGUUCAUAAUCUCACAACUAAGAAGGAUCCCUCCACACUCUUGGAACUGUAUACCCACUGGAACCCUUUAGGUAAAGUUAACCAGGGAAGUUCCUCCCCAGAAGAAGAUGGCAUCCUUGAUGUGAGCAGCUUUUCCCAAGAUCACAGAUCACAACUUCUCUACUAUCAUGAGACUCUUAUCUUUAGAUAUUUUUUCCUUAGUUAUGACUCUGUGGACAAUAGAAGUGAAAGAGGGGUCUGUUGUGUGCACUCACGGGGUACACUUUUAUUUGUAAAGGAUUUUGCAGCCAGCCUUAUACAUGGAUAACCUCAUACCUUGAUAGAUGAAAAAUUAAGGCCCAAUGUAGAUGAAAAGCUAAUGGUACCUGUGUUGCCUCAUAAUCAGUCAGAAAUAGAACAUUGGUUCACUCCUCUUAAUCCAUACCAUGGGUUAAAGAGAACAUUGCCUGAAGGCCUUCAAUCUUCUAGAAGGGCAUCAUUUGUUAGGCCCCUUUUCCAUGGUUUGGAAUAAAAGAGGCAAUGAUUAGAAAUGUAUCCCUCAUGGUAGGCUCUAUAGUAGAUUCUACUGUAAAGGCUAUGGUUACACAACAGACUUUAAAUUAUCUUGUGAAAGUUACGCUGAAUAACAGAAUUGCUCCAGAUUAUUUAGUGGCUAAAUGGAAAAGUAUUUGUGCAGCUGCUGGCACUUGAGUGGUCUAUGAAAACAUACAUCAAAUGUAGAUUAUAGAGAUUCAGUUGUAGUGGAUUAAAGAAGAGACUACUUAGUUAAGUGAGUCAGUUCUUUAUCUAGCUCAUUCUUUGAUGUAUUUAAUUUUAGGUGGUUUGGUUUAUGUGGACCCUGGGUAAGGAGCACACUCCAAACAUUUGGUAUGAUCCUCCUGAUAGUCAUAAUAGUAGUCUCCCUGGUGUGCUGUAUUCCCUCAAUACAGCACAAAUUUUAAAUGUUUGCAUGAAGCCAUCUCAAGAAUGUCAAAUGGUCUCUCUUUAACUGGAAUGACAAGAGCUGAAAGGAGUAAGUGAGCAUGAGGGCACCAUAACCUAUGAAUAACAUGCUGAGACCAGAAACCCAAAAUUGUGGGUGCCGCUGAGGCUCUAUGUUUUGAUCACGCUCUUACCUAAAUAAGAACCUGAUCAAAAAGGGGGAAUUUUUUAAAGCAAAAUUACGGGAGGCCAUUGUUUUGAGAGCUUGUUUGGAGG